Enhydra lutris kenyoni (northern sea otter) is the source of this 3802-nucleotide RNA transcript. It is a transcript of the gene named chromosome transmission fidelity factor 18, with no coding region annotated. The transcript is spliced from 23 exons. The record is from RefSeq and is a predicted model, not a curated record. NCBI's taxonomy places the organism in Eukaryota, Metazoa, Chordata, Mammalia, Carnivora, Mustelidae.
UGAGCGCCAUGGGCGACCCGGAGCUCGAGCUGGCCGGUGCCCAGGACGACUUCCACAGCCAGUUCGCCGACGAGCUGGAGGUGCUGGCCGAGCUGGAAGGGACGGCGGCCCUGUCGCCCUCCAGGGACCCCUGGCCCACGGUGGGCCGGUCCCGCCUGCCGUUCGAGGAGGCCGCCGCUGGAGGGGGCGCCGCCACUCCCUGCUCUCCCGGGGGACCGCCAGAGAACCGCGGAGGCAGUGCGAGGAAGCGGCAGCUGGCCGGCCGCGUCGCGAGGGACAGGGCCUUGCCCUCCACCCCCAGGGUCAAACGGCUUAAGCUGGAAGUCGUCAAGAAGCUGAACUUCAGGCCCGAGGAAAUGGAGGAGCCGCCCCUUCCUGACUCCCCUGCGGGGGACAUCACCCCCCCACCGAGUCCCGAGGUCCCCACUGAACCGCGGAGCAAGGGGGCCUUGGACGCUGGUGUCGAUGCGGGUCUCCUGCAGGCCUCGCUGGCAGCCCGAAAUCCUGUCCUGAGGCGGCCCCCUGUCCUGGAGGACUAUGUCAGUGUGACCUCCACGGGGGGUAGCCGGGCUUUUCUGGUCCUGCGGGCUGAUCCAGUGGGCACAGGGGUGCAGACCCCUUUCCUUGAUAUCUGGCGGCGAGGCCAUGGCCAGCUGGAUCUGUUGGGCGUGCCCUUCACGGCUCUGAAGGAGCAGGUCGACAACGAGCGGAGGCAGCAGCUGCUCGAGGAGGCCCGUCGACUCUCAGACACGCUUCGCAGCCUCAGGUCGGAGGAGGUCCAGCCUUUGGCGGCUCCUGAGGAAGAGCUGGCCAGCAACCAAGCCGAGUCCCAGCACUGCCUCUGGGUGGACGAGUUUGCCCCUCGGUCCUACACGGAGCUGCUCAGUGACGACUUCACUAACCGCUGCCUCCUCAAGUGGUUAAAGCUGUGGGACCUGGUGGUGUUCGGACGAGAGAGGCCUGCCAGGAGGCCGAGGCCCGGCAUGGAGUUGGCCCGGGGUGGCAAAGAGGCCCCGAGCACCAGCAAAUGGAAGAGCCAUGAGCAGGUGCUGGAGGACAUGCUAGAGGCUGAGCUGGACCCAAGCCGGCGGCCCCGGCAGAAGGUGGCGCUGCUCUGUGGGCCCCCGGGGCUUGGCAAGACCACCCUGGCCCACGUGAUUGCACGGCAUGCUGGGUAUUGCGUGGUGGAGAUGAACGCCAGUGACGACCGCAGCCCCGAGGCCUUCCGCACGUGCAUUGAAGCGGCCACGCAGAUGGAGUCGGUGCUGGGUGCCGGCGGGAAGCCCAACUGCCUGGUCAUCGACGAGAUCGACGGGGCCCCCGUGGCUGCCGUCAAUGUUCUCCUGAACAUCCUGGACCGCAAAGGCCCGCAGGAUGCAGAGUCUGGGGGUCCGGUCCCCCCGAGUGGGGGACGGCGGCGCCGGGCUGAGGGGGGGGUCCUGAUGAGGCCGAUCAUCUGCAUCUGCAACGACCAGUUCGUGCCGGCCCUGCGGCAGCUGAGACAGCAGGCCUUCCUGCUGCACUUCCCGCCCGUCUUGUCCUCCAGGCUCGCGCAGCGGCUGCGGGAGAUCUCCCUGCGGCAGGGCAUGAGGGCCGACCCUGGCGCGCUGGCCGCUCUGUGUGAGAAGACCGACAACGACAUCCGUGCCUGCGUCAACACGCUGCAGUUCCUCCAUGGGCGGGGCCAGCGGGAGCUGAGCGUGCAUGCUGUGUGGACCACGCGGGUCGGCCUCAAGGACCAACGCAAGGGGCUGUUCUCCGUGUGGCAGGAGGUGUUCCAGCUGCCCCGGGUGCAGAGGCAACGCUGGGGCCAGGACCCGGCCCUGCCCCCACACAUGCUCCUGCUCAGUGAUGGGCACCUGGGUCUGGGGGCCCAAGCUGCUGGGGCACCUUCAACCUCGGCUUCCCAGCGGUUCUACCACAUCCUGCACGUGGCUGCUUCUGCAGGCGAGCACGAGAAGGUGGUCCAGGGCCUGUUUGAGAACUUCCUGCGCCUGCGGCUGCGGGAUUCCAGCCUGGGCACCGUGUGCGCAGCCCUCGACUGGCUGGCCUUCGACGACCUGCUGAGCCGCGCUGCGCACCACGGCCAGAGCUUCCAGCUGCUGCGCUACCUGCCCUUCCUGCCGGUGGCCUUCCACCUGCUCUUUGCGUCCAGCCACGUGCCGAGGAUCGCUUUCCCCAGCAGCCAGCAGGAGGCCCAGAACCGGACGAGCCGGACACAGAACCUCAUCCAGACGCUGGUGGCAGGCGUCGCACCGGCCACCCGUAGCCGAGCUGCGCCUCAGGCUCUCGUCCUGGAUGCCCUCUGUCUGAUUCUGGACAUCCUUGCACCCAAGUUGCGCCCUGUGAGCACGCAGCUGUACAGCACUCGUGAGAAGCAGCAGCUGGCCAGCCUCGUGGGCACCAUGCUUGCCUACAGCCUAACCUACCGCCAGGAGCGCCUGCCCGAUGGGCAAUAUGUCUACAGGCUAGAGCCGAACGUGGAGGAGGUGUGUCGCUUUCCUGAGCUGCCCGCCCGCAAACCUCUCACCUACCAGGCCAAGCAGCUCAUCGCCCGAGAGAUUGAAAUGGAGAAGAUGCGGCGGGCGGAGGCCUUGGCCCGGGUUGGGGACAGCCCCCCGGUAGACGGGGUUCCCCUAGGGGCCAAGGCUCUGCCGGGGGCUGUUGGGGACAAAGGGGGACGCGGCCGUGAGGAACAGCAGCUGCAGCGGCGGCUGGAGCGCAUCCUGGAGAGAGCCGCCCUGGAGGAGAAGCCCGAGAGGGACUUCUUUGGUCGUGUGGUCAUCAAGAGAGCGGCAACCCCGAGUGCAGGAGACGCGGCCCCGGAGACGGAUGCGGCAGAGCGGCGCAUAGGCACGGCGGUGGGCAGGAGUGAUGUCUGGUUUCGAUUCAAGGAGGGUGUCUCCAAUGCUGUGCGGCGCAGUGUCCACAUCAAGGACCUGCUGUAGCGGGGGCUGCCCCCGCCGCCAGGAACCCAGGCCGGGUACCUCCACCCGUGCUGGACGCCCCAGGGACCACGCUUCAUGCUGUCGGGUUGCGUUUUCUCCGUUAGGAAAUCCUGUCCACGGCCUGGUUUCUUGGAGAGCGAAGGGGCAGUGUUUCGGCAAGAGCAGGACCAGGCACACGGCACAGGGUUCCCAGAAGCCCACCCUCCAACUGCAAGGCCCACUUCCCACUCCCUGUUGCAGAGGGGCACCCCAGACCAUCAGGUGAGGGGUGGGGCCGCGCCUGGCCUCCCUGGGCCAUGGGCUGUCCCUCCGCUUUGCAUGGGGAAGCCUACCCAAGGGAAAUUAAUCUUGGGGCCUGGAGGAUUUGGCUGCAAUUUGCAUCUCUAGCCAAGGGGUUUGGGGGCGGAGUAGGUGCUCAGGGUUAUGGGGUCACUGGCUGCACAGCUGGUCUGGGACUUGGGAGUGCCUACAGCCUUCUGCUGCCCGGUGUUUGCCCCCCGCACUAGCAAACCGCCUGGCCCAGUUUCUGCCUGUGCACCAGCCUGGCAGAACAGGCUGCCUCCUGCCUCCCCCACUAAAGCCCGUUCCAGCCGCCCAGGGAGUCCCCCACCGGCCCCCAGGCCCUGCUCCCAUCACGGGAGGCUGAGAGCCAGGGGACGGGGUUUCUGGACCUUGGGAGGGUGGGCAGGGGGUGACAGGAGUUUGACCCUGUCUGCACCAGCCUGUGGAGGGGACUCCACGCUGGAAAAUCUCCAUCUUGGCAGGGGGUUCGGCCCUGCAAGUUGGGGACAGAGCAGCCACACUAGGAGUCCUGGAAGGGUCAGAGCCGCAGGAGAGCAUAACCUGCCUUUUGG